Molecule: unclassified non-coding RNA, 260 nt
Filed under: uncultured Chaetomiaceae
Lineage: Eukaryota; Fungi; Ascomycota; Sordariomycetes; Sordariales
Description: sequence contains ITS2
Rfam family: 5.8S ribosomal RNA (bases 1-52)
Source: RNAcentral
AACGCACAUUGCGCCCGCCAGUAUUCUGGCGGGCAUGCCUGUUCGAGCGUCAUUUCAACCAUCAAGCCCCCGGCUUGUGUUGGGGACCUGCGGCGCGCCCGCAGGCCCUGAAAACCAGUGGCGGGCUCGCUGACCACACCGAGCGUAGUAGCAUUUCUGUCUCGCUCAGGGCGUGCGGCGGGUUCCGGCCGUGAAACCCACCCCCCAAGGGGUACCCAAAGGUUGACCUCGGAUCAGGUAGGAAGACCCGCUGAACUUAA